This 424-nucleotide long non-coding RNA is filed under the name Homo sapiens (human). RNAcentral's name for it is "HSALNT0210664". The record is from RNAcentral. Lineage: Eukaryota; Metazoa; Chordata; Mammalia; Primates; Hominidae.
ACUGCACUGUGUAAUUCCUUUAUUUUCUGCAUAUUAGUGCUUUACCAACACUACAACCAUAAAGAACACAAUUCCAAGUACUGUACUUUUUAGUUUGGGGAGAUCACAGUCUACAGACUCAUUUACUUAUAUUAAACAAGAUUAACCUCAUUCAAAACUUACUGCAGUUUAUAAAUUCACAUAAAUACAGAAAUGGAUGCAAUUAAACAACUUCAGGAUCUUAUUUUUAAAAUUCUUAGAUAAUUUUUUCUGCAGGCUAUAAUUACCUGCUCCAGUCACAUUUGAAAUUACUAAGUUAGAACUCAUAAGGAAGGGGGGGGAAGGCCUUAAAUAUAAAAGACAAACGGCAGUUUGAUUAAGCAAUAAUUUUCAGUUUACUAGAUGAAACAGACUUGCAACAUAGUCUGCAUGAAUGCAAAAUAAG